UUUUUUCACUAGGGGAGCGAAAGCUGAGAAUCUUAAAGAUGACCCUUGGAACCUGAUAGGUAAUGCUAGCGUAGGGAAGUGUUUUUUAUACUCA
RNAcentral lists this non-coding RNA (94 nucleotides) under Peptoniphilus asaccharolyticus. RNAcentral's name for it is "TPP sequence". It matches the Rfam family "TPP riboswitch aptamer (THI element)". Rfam says of the family: Vitamin B(1) in its active form thiamin pyrophosphate (TPP) is an essential coenzyme that is synthesised by coupling of pyrimidine and thiazole moieties in bacteria. The previously detected thiamin-regulatory element, thi box was extended, resulting in a new, highly conserved RNA secondary structure, the THI element, which is widely distributed in eubacteria and also occurs in some archaea. Lineage: Bacteria; Bacillati; Bacillota; Tissierellia; Tissierellales; Peptoniphilaceae. The record is from RNAcentral.